CCUACGGGAGGCAGCAGUGGGGGAUAUUGCACAAUGGGGGAAACCCUGAUGCAGCGACGCCGCGUGUGGGAAGACGGUCCUCUGGAUUGUAAACCACUGUCCCCAGGGACGAAGAUGACGGAACCUGGGGAGGAAGCUUCGGCCAACUACGUGCCAGCAGCCGCGGUAAUACGUAGGGAGCGAGCGUUGUCCGUAGUUACUGGGCGUAAAGGGAGCGUAGGCGGGGAUGCAAGUUGGGGGUCAAAACUACCGGCUCAACUGGUAGUCGCACUCAAAACUGCAGCUCUUGAGUGAAGUAGAGGCAGGCGGAAUUCCUAGUGUAGCGGUGAAAUGCGUAGAUAUUAGGAGGAACACCAGUAGCGAAGGCGGCCUGCUGGGCUUUUACUGACGCUGAGGCUCGAAAGUGUGGGGAGCAAACAGGAUUAGAUACCCGAGUAGUC
RNAcentral lists this ribosomal RNA (440 nucleotides) under uncultured bacterium. RNAcentral's name for it is "partial 16S ribosomal RNA". It matches the Rfam family "Bacterial small subunit ribosomal RNA", at positions 338 to 795 of the family's 1533-position model. The record is from RNAcentral.